Long non-coding RNA from Lolium perenne, 1524 nucleotides. RefSeq lists it as uncharacterized. The record is from RefSeq and is a predicted model, not a curated record. NCBI's taxonomy places the organism in Eukaryota, Viridiplantae, Streptophyta, Magnoliopsida, Poales, Poaceae.
CACACUCUACUCACUCACUCUGUCACUCAAGUCAGUCUCAUCUACCCAUCCGCCGAUCCUGUGCACCCCUCACUAUCUCACCGCCGGCGAUCCCCAAUUCCCCACCCGCCAGGCACAUGGCUCCCUCUCUCGACGGACGCGUCAGGCCACCCCUCCUCUUCAUCCCCACUCCCGUCCCGAUGCGAGGCCAAUCUUCGCCAGGCCUCCUCGUCGAACCCGAUAUCACCUACUCAGGCUGGGCAUGCUAGGCGCCGGGGGAGGAGGAGACCCGGGCCACGUCUACACUGGAUCGACGGCCGCGAUAACUGCUCGUUGGAGAGCUCCGGCCUCCUCCUCCCACGGUACAAGCCGAUGAGCCUUAACAACCGCAGCGAGGACGCUCUGCUCCUGCAGGCUGGCCGUGUCGCGAGCCUUCUGGGCAUCAUAUUUUGCAUCUUAAUCCGAUUGGCCUUGCUGGGUUCUCGUCCUUGCCUGCGCCAUGGACCACGGUGGGGAGGAAGAAGAGAAAGACCAAGUCCAAGAGGGAGAGGCCCGGCGCCUCCUCCCGCUGAGAGGAGGGCUCCAGGGGUAGGGACAGGUUCCAGUGGCGGGGCUACCAUGAUAUGAUUUGCUCCUUGUAAGGGAACUAUCUGCUCCUAUCUAUCUCUUCUAUAAAGUCGUUGUUGGUCCAUGACAUUGAGUCGGCGAUGAUGUUCUACAGAUACAGAUACCAGAUCAAGUUUUAAGCCUGGAAACACAUCAAAUUAUAAAGGCAUUAUUGCCACAGGAUCCGGAGGAAUUUGACUGAGAAAACAAAGUUAGCAAAUGCCCUCUAUCUCCCUCUCUGGUGUCCAGAUCUCACAAGGUACGGUGUUGGGGCAAGUCGUGAAGGAGAAGGGGGCAGACCUAGAGCUAUGGGUGGCAUACAGGCAUAGCAUCCGUGCCCGUGCGGCCUUGCCGUCCGCACUCAGAGCAACGAACAUGAUAAGUUUUGUUCCUCGUGGAUGCCACGGAUCCUACAGUUUUGUUCCUCCUGCUAUCUAGAGUUGUUCCACGGAUCCUACAGUUUUGUUCCUCGUGGAUGCCAGAGUUGUUCUAUGAACCCUACGGUUAUUUUCCCUGUGGAUGCCAGAGUUGUUCCAUGGACCCUACAGUUUUGUUCCUCGUGGAUGUUUGUUCCUCAUGGAUGCCAGAGUUGUUCCACGGACCUUACGUUUUGUUCCCGUGGAUGCCAGAGUUGUUCCACUGAUCCUACGGUUUUGUUCCUCGUGGAUGCCAGAGUUGUUCCACCGACCUACGUUUUGUUCCCCGUGGAUGCCAGAGUUGUUCCACGGACCCUACGGUUUUGUUCCCGGUGGAUGCCAUAGCUAUUCCAUGGACUCUAUAGUUUUGUUCCUCGUGGAUGCCAGAUUUGUUCCUCUGAUGCAAUUCUUGUUCCCUGUGUUGACGAGAUUUGGUCCUCGAACACAAUAUCAUUGUUCCCCAAGUAGACGAGAUUUGUUCUGCGGACGCAAAAAAUUUGGUUCCCGAAUAGACGAGAUUUAU